Chiloscyllium plagiosum (whitespotted bambooshark) is the source of this 908-nucleotide non-coding RNA. NCBI's taxonomy places the organism in Eukaryota, Metazoa, Chordata, Chondrichthyes, Orectolobiformes, Hemiscylliidae. The record is from RefSeq and is a predicted model, not a curated record.
ACAUUGUAUAACUUUUUUUCUUAAACUUUGCUAAAUUCUUUAUGGCCAAGUAAUUUUGAACAAUGUAUAUUUAUAAAAAGUUGAUUCAUAAUAUUUCUAUAUCAAUCAUAGAUAAGUGUAAAGCAUGUUUAUACUGAGAAUGUUAAUGUUUUAUAUAUUGCAAUGAAAGAAUCCUUUGUCUUUGUUAGUUCCUCAUUUUAGUUCGAGAGAAAAUUCAUUAUCUUUUGCUAAUGCUGUGACAUAGUUUUAAAUCUCCAAUACUGAAACUCUAAUUCAGAAAAUCUCAUAGACUUCGUCAAUUUAACUUGUCUUCUAAGUAACUUCAAAGUUUCAUUUUUGAACCAUUGUAACAAUGUAAAUGAUGGGUUAAAAUAAUUUAAGCUAUGCCUUCGUGUUAUGAUCAUUUUAUUUGUUCAAUCCCUCAUUAUUUGAAUAUUGUGUCUCAAUACCUAAUACAGAAGGUGGUCAGCCAGUAAUAAAUUUGUACUGUACACUUUGAAAAAAAAAAUCAGUUUCAUCAACGGUAACACAUUGGCAAGUAGAAUAUGUCUGUACCAGGUCAUAGUUUUUAUAACAUAAUAUUGUCAUGAAAAGCAUUUAAUUUUUAAAUUUUGGACAAUGUUGCUUUAGAAUGAAAUCUGCAACACAAAGGCAACCUACUAGCUCAAGAGAAUGUGGUCACCUCUAAAACAUGACCAUUUUGCCUGAAAUCUCAUCUGACCCCGGCCAGGUUUAUUGUCCCUCUGUAAAAAGUCAAGGACAGAGUCUCCUUGAACCAAAGAACAGCUUUUCGAGAAAAAGGGACCAUCUUUGUGAUACCAUGCUGCACCAUUUAAUAAGAAAUCAUCAACGAUCUAUGAAAAUAUCCCAAGAAAACAAAAGGGGAAAGCCAUGAAACCAUCCGAUGA